Molecule: ribosomal RNA, 418 nt
Filed under: uncultured bacterium
Lineage: Bacteria
Description: bacterial SSU rRNA
Rfam family: Bacterial small subunit ribosomal RNA
Source: RNAcentral
GGAAUCUUGCGCAAUGGAGGAAACUCUGACGCAGCCACGCCGCGUGCCGGAAGACGGCCCUAUGGGUUGUAAACGGCUUUUGAUUGGGAAGAACUGUUCCGUUUCGACGGGACUUGACGGUACCAUUUGAAUAAGCACCGGCUAACUCCGUGCCAGCCGCCGCGGUAAUACGGAGGGUGCAAGCGUUGUCCGGAAUCAUUGGGUGUAAAGGGUGCGUAGGCUGGCAUCUAAGUCUGGGGUGAAAUCUUGCCGCUUAACGGUAAAAUUGCCCUGGAUACUGGAUGUCUUGAAUCUGACAGAGGUCGGUGGAAUUCGUGGUGUAGCGGUGAAAUGCAUAGAUAUCACGAAGAACACCAGUGGCGAAGGCGGCCGGCUGGGUCAGUAUUGACGCUGAGGCACGAAAGCGUGGGGAGCAAAC